ACAAGCAUCUUCACUUCUUCAGCAUGAUCAACACCAGUGCAGCAACCCCUAGCAGAACCACAACAACAACCAGCAUCUUAAUGAGCAUCACCAGCUCUUUCCAAGCAUCAUCAGUGCAGCAGCUUGCUGCCUGCUCAUCAGAUUGCCACUGUCAUUCUUCAAAACCUUCUUACCCGAGCUAACAUAUCCAUUCAUAUAGAACAGCUCUUGUGCUUUAAGAAGUUCCUCCCUGCGUUCCUCAGCCACACCAAUAGCAUCAACAGCCGCUUCGCCGCUGAGAUAAUGCUUGUCAACAAGGAACUUGACAUACUCCAACUC
Molecule: long non-coding RNA, 318 nt
Filed under: Hordeum vulgare
Lineage: Eukaryota; Viridiplantae; Streptophyta; Magnoliopsida; Poales; Poaceae
Description: long non-coding RNA (HVUL_LNC016230)
Source: RNAcentral